GAGCAAGUAGGAUUUCAUGACCCUCUUUUUCCAUGCAACGAGGUUGUCUUCAUAGCAUGUAGGUGUGCCACUGUGAGAUCCCAUGAAGAAAAAAGCAAAAAGAGAAAACUUACUUUCUUACAAAAUCUUAGAUCUUGAAAUCCCUAGGUGUUGUUAUAUAUGAUGCAAGUUGCGAAGAUGGUUAGUUACAUCUUAUCUUGAUUAAUCAAAAUUAUUUUGAUUUAAAAUCAU
This 231-nucleotide long non-coding RNA is filed under the name Elaeis guineensis (African oil palm). RNAcentral describes it as "long non-coding RNA (EGUI_LNC060718)". Lineage: Eukaryota; Viridiplantae; Streptophyta; Magnoliopsida; Arecales; Arecaceae. The record is from RNAcentral.